This 253-nucleotide ribosomal RNA is filed under the name uncultured bacterium. RNAcentral describes it as "partial 16S ribosomal RNA". It matches the Rfam family "Bacterial small subunit ribosomal RNA", at positions 524 to 776 of the family's 1533-position model. The record is from RNAcentral.
UACGUAGGGUGCUAGCGUUGUUCGGAAUCAUUGGGCGUAAAGCGCGUGUAGGCGGUUAGUUAAGUCGGGUGUGAAAUCCCUGGGCUCAACCGAGGAAGUGCAUUCGAAACUAACUAGCUAGAAGAUGGUAGAGGAAGGUGGAAUUCCAAGUGUAGAGGUGAAAUUCGUAGAUAUUUGGAGGAAUACCGGUGGCGAAGGCGGCCUUCUGGGCCAUUCUUGACGCUGAGACGCGAAAGCGUGGGGAGCAAACAGG